UACAGAGGGUGCGAGCGUUGUCCGGAAUCACUGGGCGUAAAGGGCGCGUAGGUGGCGACCCAAGUCGAUGGUGAAAGCUCGCCGCUCAACGGCGAGUCGGCCACCGAUACUGGGUUGCUGGAGCACUGUAGAGGCAGAUGGAAUUCCGGGUGUAGCGGUGGAAUGCGUAGAGAUCCGGAAGAACACCGGUGGCGAAGGCGGUCUGCUGGGGCAGUUGCUG
This 220-nucleotide ribosomal RNA is filed under the name uncultured bacterium. Its description in RNAcentral is "partial 16S ribosomal RNA". It matches the Rfam family "Bacterial small subunit ribosomal RNA", at positions 524 to 742 of the family's 1533-position model. The record is from RNAcentral.